UCCUGGUCCAAAGGUAGUGAGUUAUUGCAACUGAUUGUUCACAGUUAAAGAUCAAACUUCCUUGUUCUACUCUUUUCCCCCUUCUCACUACUGCACUUGACUAGUUGU
Molecule: Y RNA, 108 nt
Filed under: Prolemur simus (greater bamboo lemur)
Lineage: Eukaryota; Metazoa; Chordata; Mammalia; Primates; Lemuridae
Description: Y RNA (ENSPSMG00000021359.1)
Rfam family: Y RNA
About the family: Y RNAs are components of the Ro ribonucleoprotein particle (Ro RNP), in association with Ro60 and La proteins. The Y RNAs and Ro60 and La proteins are well conserved, but the function of the Ro RNP is not known.
Source: Rfam by way of RNAcentral